AGAGUUUGAUCCUGGCUCAGAUUGAACGCUGGCGGAAUGCUUUACACAUGCAAGUCGAACGGCAGCACGGACUUCGGUCUGGUGGCGAGUGGCGAACGGGUGAGUAACAUAUCGGAACGUAUCCAAUAAUGGGGGAUAACUAAUCGAAAGGUUGGCUAAUACCGCACACGCCCUACGGGGGAAAGCUAGGGACCUUCGGGCCUGGCGUUAAUGGAGCGGCCGAUAUCUGAUUAGCUAGUUGGUGGGGUAAAGGCCCACCAAGGCGACGAUCAGUAGCUGGUCUGAGAGGACGACCAGCCACACUGGAACUGAGACACGGUCCAGACUCCUACGGGAGGCAGCAGUGGGGAAUUUUGGGCAAUGGGCGCAAGCCUGAUCCAGCCAUUCCGCGUGAGUGAAGAAGGCCUUCGGGUUGUAAAGC
Molecule: ribosomal RNA, 421 nt
Filed under: uncultured bacterium
Lineage: Bacteria
Description: bacterial SSU rRNA
Rfam family: Bacterial small subunit ribosomal RNA
Source: RNAcentral